AAAUGCAUUAGCUACAGAAUGCAACAGAGGCAGUACAAAGAAGUGGAAAGAGACCUAUGGUAGGAAAUGAGGAAAAGGAGAGAAUAUGCUAAGGCUUGAAGAAAGAAGGGAGAAAAAGAAGGGAGGCUCUGUGGGCCUCGUUCCCACAGUGGAUGCAAUAAAACAGGAUCCAAGGCAUUCAAAUUAUUUAUUGACAGAAGAAGCAGAAUGGCGAACACUAAACUUCUUGUUGCUUUCUGGACAUUCUUUGAGCAGGCACUGAGUAAAUCAGUCCACUUAUUGGAAAGGAAAGUAAGUCCCUAGAAAGAAAUGGCAUCAGAUUGCCCACAGCCUUGCUGGCAAGGUGAGGACAAAUUACUGUGUUGAGAUUCUUUAAAAAACCCCAGUGAAACAGACAAGGAUUCCUAUUUCUGCACCUUCAAUACUGUUAAUUUGUAACUGACAGGAUCUGACAAGCAUCCCACUGGAAAAAAUUACCUCCACUUGUGCACUUCACCUCCCAUGAGAGUAUCAAGGUAAAAUGGCACUCAGAUCUUUAUGCCUGAAGGUACAAUCAGAUGAAGUGGAUUCAUUCAAGAGACAUCAUGGGGAAGAAAUCAACACUUUGCCCCAUUAGCCUUAGGUCAUUAUAUGGCAUGGAAUUCACUGAAUUCCCCAAUAGUCUUGAUCAAGCAAAGUUGAACAAGUCUACAGUUGAGCAACCUUGUUCCUUGAAAUUCUUUCUGGACAGAGUUUUUUGUUACAUGAACUGAAAUCAGUGAAAUUUGGUAACAGAAAUACAUGAAGAUGCUGAGGGUUUUUUUUUUCCCAAGAACUUCCACAAUUCAUUUCUACUGAAUAAAAGAACAGGGGAAAA
This is a long non-coding RNA of Pantherophis guttatus, 856 nucleotides long. RefSeq lists it as uncharacterized. The record is from RefSeq and is a predicted model, not a curated record. NCBI's taxonomy places the organism in Eukaryota, Metazoa, Chordata, Lepidosauria, Squamata, Colubridae.